CAAUUUAGUCAGCAGGGCACUGACUCCCUUCUUCUUUUAUAAGUGCUGUCAGAUCUGCGUACCCUGUACAGAACAGAGAGGCCUGGCUGCAUCUCAUUCUAGCAGAGGCACCUUCAAGCUACACUGCUUCCACUUAUCUUGCUGGAGAGCUGGCAGAUCUACUUGUAAGGAAGAGCUGUAAGGAAGAGCUGCCCCUUGUCCGUUCAUUUUUACAGUCAAG
RNAcentral lists this long non-coding RNA (220 nucleotides) under Ictidomys tridecemlineatus (thirteen-lined ground squirrel). RNAcentral's name for it is "lncRNA (ENSSTOG00000034704.1)". Lineage: Eukaryota; Metazoa; Chordata; Mammalia; Rodentia; Sciuridae. The record is from RNAcentral.